This 57-nucleotide ribosomal RNA is filed under the name ascomycete sp. E52. RNAcentral's name for it is "partial 28S ribosomal RNA". The record is from RNAcentral. RNAcentral also lists the same sequence under 5 other names. Lineage: Eukaryota; Fungi; Ascomycota.
UUGACCUCGGAUCAGGUAGGGAUACCCGCUGAACUUAAGCAUAUCAAUAAGCGGAGA